This 234-nucleotide ribosomal RNA is filed under the name uncultured bacterium. Its description in RNAcentral is "partial 16S ribosomal RNA". It matches the Rfam family "Bacterial small subunit ribosomal RNA", at positions 104 to 334 of the family's 1533-position model. The record is from RNAcentral.
CGGGGUGAGUAACGUGUGGGCAACCUGCCCUAUACUGGGGAAUAAUCACUGGAAACGGUGACUAAUACCGCAUGUCAUUACGGAAGGGCAUCCUUCUGUAAGAAAAGGAGUAAUUCGGUAUAGGAUGGGCCCGCAUCUGAUUAGCUAGUUGGUGAGAUAACAGCCCACCAAGGCGACGAUCAGUAGCCGACCUGAGAGGGUGAUCGGCCACAUUGGGACUGAGACACGGCCCAA